GAUUAUGGCAACGUGAGGGAGCAGCUGAGCCGCCUGGCGGGACCCCCUGUAUCCCGGCGGACAGGAGUGCGGAGCCACACGGUUGCCCAGCCCGAGCGCUGUUUGCGGCGGUCUCCGAGCUGAGUGGAGCGCUCCAGCCUCCAGCCCUGCCCCAGCUCAACAUUGUCUUCCUGGAUGCUCUUUCUUUUCCUUUUGACGGUAAAGAUGGAAAGAAAGUGGAUAUUGGAGGAUUUUAAUUCUAUCUUUUUUGGUGUGCUCUGUCUCCUUUCCAUAGAUGGAGGUAAACUAGAACAAGUAAAACAUUCAGAUACAUACUGUGUGUUUCAAGAUAAGAAAUACCAUGUAGGAGAAAGAUGGCAUCCUUAUCUAGAACCCUAUGGCCUUGUUUACUGCGUUAAUUGUCUUUGUUCAGAGAAUGGAAAUGUUUUGUGCAGCAGAAUAAGAUGCCCAAGUCUACACUGUGCUUCCCCUGUGCAUGUACCACAGCUGUGCUGCCCACGAU
This is a long non-coding RNA of Ficedula albicollis (Collared flycatcher), 502 nucleotides long. RefSeq lists it as uncharacterized. Lineage: Eukaryota; Metazoa; Chordata; Aves; Passeriformes; Muscicapidae. The transcript has 4 exons. The record is from RefSeq and is a predicted model, not a curated record.